RNAcentral lists this small RNA (89 nucleotides) under Klebsiella pneumoniae. Its description in RNAcentral is "partial RtT sRNA". It matches the Rfam family "RtT RNA", at positions 42 to 130 of the family's 130-position model. From Rfam's summary of the family: This family represents a bacterial cis-regulatory element known as RtT RNA. The exact function of RtT is unknown although it is thought that it may be involved in changing the cellular response in relation to amino acid starvation. Lineage: Bacteria; Pseudomonadati; Pseudomonadota; Gammaproteobacteria; Enterobacterales; Enterobacteriaceae. The record is from RNAcentral.
UUCGACUCGAGCGAAGCGAGAGAACGUUGCGUCAGCAACGGCCCGCAGGGCGAGCCACGAAGUGGUGAGUCAUCCUCUAUCACCGACCA